CAAUACAAGGCAUACGGCUCAGUAACGCGUAGUCAACCUAACCUAUGGACGGGAAUAACCUCGGGAAACUGAGAAUAAUGCCCGAUAGAACAUUAUGCCUGGAAUGGUUUAUGUUCCAAAUGAUUUAUCGCCGUAGGAUGGGACUGCGGCCUAUCAGUUUGUUGGUGAGGUAAUGGCCCACCAAGACUAUUACAGGUACGGGCUCUGAGAGGAGUAGCCCGGAGAUGGGUACUGAGACACGGACCCAGGCCCUAUGGGGCGCAGCAGGCGAGAAAACUUUGCAAUGUGCGAAAGCACGACAAGGUUAAUCCGAGUGGUUUCUGCUAAAGAAACCUUUUGUCAGUCCUAGAAACACUGAUGAAUAAGGGGUGGGCAAGUUCUGGUGUCAGCCGCCGCGGUAAAACCAGCACCUCAAGUGGUCAGGAUGAUUAUUGGGCCUAAAGCAUCCGUAGCCGGCUCUGUAAGUUUUCGGUUAAAUCUGUACGCUCAACGUACAGGCUGCCGGGAAUACUGCAGAGCUAGGGAGUGGGAGAGGUAGACGGUACUCGGUAGGAAGGGGUAAAAUCCUUUGAUCUAUUGAUGACCACCUGUGGCGAAGGCGGUCUACCAGAACACGUCCGACGGUGAGGGAUGAAAGCUUGGGGAGCAAACCGGAUUAGAUACCCGGGUAGUCCCAG
RNAcentral lists this ribosomal RNA (677 nucleotides) under uncultured crenarchaeote. RNAcentral describes it as "bacterial SSU rRNA". It matches the Rfam family "Archaeal small subunit ribosomal RNA", at positions 72 to 750 of the family's 1478-position model. Lineage: Archaea; Thermoproteati; Thermoproteota. The record is from RNAcentral.